Molecule: ribosomal RNA, 943 nt
Filed under: Arthrobacter sp. IK-MB16-518F
Lineage: Bacteria; Bacillati; Actinomycetota; Actinomycetes; Micrococcales; Micrococcaceae
Description: bacterial SSU rRNA
Rfam family: Bacterial small subunit ribosomal RNA
Source: RNAcentral
CNUNUCGGAUUUAUUGGGCGUAAGAGCUCGUAGGCGGUUUGUCGCGUCUGCCGUGAAAGUCCGAAGGCUCAACCUCGGAUCUGCGGUGGGUACGGGCAGACUAGAGUGAUGUAGGGGAGACUGGAAUUCCUGGUGUAGCGGUGAAAUGCGCAGAUAUCAGGAGGAACACCGAUGGCGAAGGCAGGUCUCUGGGCAUUUACUGACGCUGAGGAGCGAAAGCAUGGGGAGCGAACAGGAUUAGAUACCCUGGUAGUCCAUGCCGUAAACGUUGGGCACUAGGUGUGGGGGACAUUCCACGUUUUCCGCGCCGUAGCUAACGCAUUAAGUGCCCCGCCUGGGGAGUACGGCCGCAAGGCUAAAACUCAAAGGAAUUGACGGGGGCCCGCACAAGCGGCGGAGCAUGCGGAUUAAUUCGAUGCAACGCGAAGAACCUUACCAAGGCUUGACAUGUGCCAGACCGCUCCAGAGAUGGGGUUUCCCUUCGGGGCUGGUUCACAGGUGGUGCAUGGUUGUCGUCAGCUCGUGUCGUGAGAUGUUGGGUUAAGUCCCGCAACGAGCGCAACCCUCGUUCCAUGUUGCCAGCACGUAGUGGUGGGGACUCAUGGGAGACUGCCGGGGUCAACUCGGAGGAAGGUGGGGGAUGACGUCAAAUCAUCAUGCCCCUUAUGUCUUGGGGCUUCACGCAUGCUACAAUGGCCGGUACAAUGGGUUGCGAUACUGUGAGGUGGAGCUAAUCCCUAAAAGCCGGUCUCAGUUCGGAUUGGGGUCUGCAACUCGACCCCAUGAAGUCGGAGUCGCUAGUAAUCGCAGAUCAGCAACGCUGCGGUGAAUACGUUCCCGGGCCUUGUACACACCGCCCGUCAAGUCACGAAAGUUGGUAACACCCGAAGCCGAUGGCCUACCACCUUGUGUGGGGGGGAGUCGUCGAAGUGGACUGCGAUGA